UAAUUACGAAACGACGAAUUUGGACAAAGGGCUUUGAGCUAAAACCCUAAACCCAAUCAACACUGUAUCCACCAUAGCUCCGAGAUAUUCACCCAAAACUCUCCGUACAAUGGCUUCAAGGUGUAGCAGAAUUAUCAGCAAGGCUUCGCUUUCUUCUAUCAGAUCCGCCAUGAAGCUCAAUUCUCAAUCAGCUUCUUCUGCGACGUCGUUCUCCAGUUUCUCUGCUUCAACCAGAUCUGCUUCGUCUCCUCUCCGCCGGUUAUCCUUUUCAAGAAUUCCGUCGGAGCUGGGAGGAGUGCAGUCAAUGUUGCCACUACACAAUGCAGUUGCUACGGCGAGGAUGACGUCAUGCCUGAGCUCAACAUCGAGGAGUUGCAGAGCUCUUUCACAGGGUACACUCUGCUGCACCUCUCCAGACCUCUAGCAUGUUCAUUUAUUACUACCACAAAAUAAAAAAGAAGCACAUGAGUUUCCAAAAGCAUGAAAGAAAUAUACUGGAAUAUGACAGGCCUUCCUAUUUUGCUUAAAGCUGGGUCUAUCAGUACCGAGGUGACUUUGUUAGCAGAUUGUUAGAGAAAGCUGUCAACUCUUUGAUGGAAAUGCAAGAUUUUGUCGUAGGCAAGGCAGUUCUGUUUAAUGACUCAAACUUUAUAAGGGCGGUAACAAUAUUUGAUUGUAUUGAACUGAGUUCUGUUUCCUUGAUUACUAGGAAAUUUACUAUGGAAUAAUUCUUGCUUCCUUCGUUUUUUGGGCCGAUUUUCAUACUGAAAAUGGAUGAGGUUCAUUUGUAUAACAAAGAUAUCUUGUUUUUCCAUAA
RNA transcript from Solanum lycopersicum (tomato), 817 nucleotides. It is a transcript of the gene named protein NONRESPONDING TO OXYLIPINS 2, mitochondrial, with no coding region annotated. NCBI's taxonomy places the organism in Eukaryota, Viridiplantae, Streptophyta, Magnoliopsida, Solanales, Solanaceae. The record is from RefSeq and is a predicted model, not a curated record.